UUGAAAUGCGGAUACUGUCCCGGUUUAAAUGGGUUAAGUGAUUGAUGCUGAUGACAGCAAGGCCAGUGAGCCGUUCCUGAGACAUGGUUGACCUUAGGUACGACUUUAUCAACUUCAGUUUUGAGAGGCUCCUCUCUGCUUGAGCCACCAUGACUGGCAGAGUGAGAGCAAUCCUGAGAGCAGAGCUGUUCCCCGCAACCCUCUCCCCACUUCGUCUCAUACAGUCUGUCAGCCUCUGUGCGGCACCUUCGCAGCAAGCAGGGGCGCCCACAGCAGCAGGGGGCACCAAUUUGACAAGAGUUCAUACAAAACCGCUUUGCGCCACAGAUUUAUUAUUAUUAUUAUCUUUUUUUUUUUUUUUGAAGUGCUUGUGCCGCCCCCCAUGAGUCAUGACACAAAUGCCACCCCGGGCGGCUGCCCAGUUCGCCCAUGCCUAGAACUACUGAUGUUGCACUUCGUUAUUAUCCGAAGAGAAGACAGGACAACAUUUUAUUGGCAACAACUACCUGCAUAUAACUUUUAAAACAGCAGUAAGAGCUACUUAAAACAAGAUAUUGCUCAUCUUUUAUUGCAGUGACAGGUGGGAGGCUAACAAGGUUAGAACACAUUGUUGGGGUGGCCUUUCUGCACCUUUUUACAGAAGAGUGGCAUCUAAAGCUCAGGAGCAAAGCGAUGUAGAUGCCGAUGCCGAUGCCGAUGCCAAUUGCGAUGUCAGAGGGCCUCUAUUCUCUAGGAUCUUAUGACUACUCACACUGUUAUAGGGCAUAUCUGAAGAGAACCGAGAAAGAAGGGUGAUAUGGCGGGGGGGACAGGGACAGCAAUCAGAGGGCCCCCGGGCUUUGGGGGAUGGCAGUCAGAGGGUUCCUGGGCUAUGGGGGACGGCAGUCAGAGGGCCCCUGGGCUGGCCCUGCUGUAGUGCCUCUCAUGAUUUACCAAGGGUUUUGAAUGAAAGUCCUUUCAGUGAGCCCUAAGGCCCAGGAUAUGCUAGCUGUGUGACUUCAUUUACGUGCGCAACCGCACAUACUUGCAGCAGAACGAUCAGAGCACUAUGCACGAUACUGGUAGUGUUGCCAAAAACAAAUCACCAAAAGUCGCUAUUGGUUCUCUGAAAAGUCGCUAGAUUACGUCACGACGUUACUAUUUGACAAGAGUUCAUACAAAACCGCUUUGCACCACAGAUUUAUUAUUAUUAUUAUCUUUUUUUUUUUUUUUUUGGAAGUGCUCAUGCCGCCCCCCAUGAGUCAUGACACAAAUGCCACCCCGGGCAGCUGUCCAGUUCGCCCGUGCCUAGAACUGCUACUGCUACUCACUAGAUGUCACAAUUUGUCAAUGAGACUUGUCCAUGAUGUUGCACAGUGGCGGUUCUAGACUUAAUUGCUCCCUGGGCGAGACCCCCUCCAAGUGCCCCCUAUUGCUCCCCUAUUACCCCAUCAAGACCUGAACCCUGUCUGAGACACGCCUCUGAAAUCCUGAGGGCUGUUUUGAGAAGGGUCCCCAGAUCCUGAGGUUUUCUGAAGUGUUAAGGUUUACAAAAAAGCUGAGAUCUCAGCCUCUGUAGAAGAUAGAAACAAAAUUCACAAAGUAUUUGAGAGCUUACACGUGUGGCUUUCAAGAUAACUAUCUUUUAUUUUUCUGAACCUUCAUCACAUUUUUGAUAACCUUGAACAAACAAACUCAAAUGAAAUAAAGCGGCUGUAUGAAUAAAAGUAAAGACUCUGCACUGGAGAAUAAUAAACUAUUUACUUUCUGUAAAAAAAGUGGCAGUUAUGAUAAAGUGUCCAUCAAUACAAAUGUAAAUAUAAAAAAUAAAGUGUUGAAAGGGUAUGCAGCUGCCCUAGUAUAGUGCCAGUACAAAAGCAGAAACUAAAAACUAAAAAAAUGAAUAAAUAAAUACGUGACUGGGUGAGCACAGACAUGAACGCACUGUCAAAGUCAUGCAACACUCACAGAAAUCGCCGAGAGUGUGAAGCAAAGCACUCCAUAUGAAGAGGUUGUUCACACUGCUGGAUGUUUCUCCUCCAAAGCUGCUCUCUGCCUCCGCCAGUGUUUACUUUACUCAUGAAGCACGUAGCAAGAUCCGAGCAUGAAUCUGAGCGCUUUAUUCACCUAUCAGAGGCAGACGGGUAUGAUGAUUUGAUUCGCCAUGACUCCAGAAAUGACUGAAAAACUACAGAAUGUUACAAAAUGACGUAUCCACGCUCCUGGCUUGGAAGGUUGAAAUGCGGAUACUGUCCCGGUUUAAAUGGGUUAAGUGAUUGAUGCUGAUGACAGCAAGGCCAGUGAGCCGUUCCUGAGACAUGGUUGACCUUAGGUACGACUUUAUCAACUUCAGUUUUGAGAGGCUCCUCUCUGCUUGAGCCACCAUGACUGGCAGAGUGAGAGCAAUCCUGAGAGCAGAGCUGUUCCCCGCAACCCUCUCCCCACUUCGUCUCAUACAGUCUGUCAGCCUCUGUGCGGCACCUUCGCAGCAAGCAGGGGCGCCCACAGCAGCAGGGGGCACCAAUUUGACAAGAGUUCAUACAAAACCGCUUUGCGCCACAGAUUUAUUAUUAUUAUUAUCUUUUUUUUUUUUUUUUGAAGUGCUUGUGCCGCCCCCCAUGAGUCAUGACACAAAUGCCACCCCGGGCGGCUGCCCAGUUCGCCCAUGCCUAGAACUACUGAUGUUGCACUUCGUUAUUAUCCGAAGAGAAGACAGGACAACAUUUUAUUGGCAACAACUACCUGCAUAUAACUUUUAAAACAGCAGUAAGAGCUACUUAAAACAAGAUAUUGCUCAUCUUUUAUUGCAGUGACAGGUGGGAGGCUAACAAGGUUAGAACACAUUGUUGGGGUGGCCUUUCUGCACCUUUUUACAGAAGAGUGGCAUCUAAAGCUCAGGAGCAAAGCGAUGUAGAUGCCGAUGCCGAUGCCGAUGCCAAUUGCGAUGUCAGAGGGCCUCUAUUCUCUAGGAUCUUAUGACUACUCACACUGUUAUAGGGCAUAUCUGAAGAGAACCGAGAAAGAAGGGUGAUAUGGCGGGGGGGACAGGGACAGCAAUCAGAGGGCCCCCGGGCUUUGGGGGAUGGCAGUCAGAGGGUUCCUGGGCUAUGGGGGACGGCAGUCAGAGGGCCCCUGGGCUGGCCCUGCUGUAGUGCCUCUCAUGAUUUACCAAGGGUUUUGAAUGAAAGUCCUUUCAGUGAGCCCUAAGGCCCAGGAUAUGCUAGCUGUGUGACUUCAUUUACGUGCGCAACCGCACAUACUUGCAGCAGAACGAUCAGAGCACUAUGCACGAUACUGGUAGUGUUGCCAAAAACAAAUCACCAAAAGUCGCUAUUGGUUCUCUGAAAAGUCGCUAGAUUACGUCACGACGUUACUAUUUGACAAGAGUUCAUACAAAACCGCUUUGCACCACAGAUUUAUUAUUAUUAUUAUCUUUUUUUUUUUUUUUUUUUGGAAGUGCUCAUGCCGCCCCCCAUGAGUCAUGACACAAAUGCCACCCCGGGCAGCUGUCCAGUUCGCCCGUGCCUAGAACUGCUACUGCUACUCACUAGAUGUCACAAUUUGUCAAUGAGACUUGUCCAUGAUGUUGCACAGUGGCGGUUCUAGACUUAAUUGCUCCCUGGGCGAGACCCCCUCCAAGUGCCCCCUAUUGCUCCCCUAUUACCCCAUCAAGACCUGAACCCUGUCUGAGACACGCCUCUGAAAUCCUGAGGGCUGUUUUGAGAAGGGUCCCCAGAUCCUGAGGUUUUCUGAAGUGUUAAGGUUUACAAAAAAGCUGAGAUCUCAGCCUCUGUAGAAGAUAGAAACAAAAUUCACAAAGUAUUUGAGAGCUUACACGUGUGGCUUUCAAGAUAACUAUCUUUUAUUUUUCUGAACCUUCAUCACAUUUUUGAUAACCUUGAACAAACAAACUCAAAUGAAAUAAAGCGGCUGUAUGAAUAAAAGUAAAGACUCUGCACUGGAGAAUAAUAAACUAUUUACUUUCUGUAAAAAAAGUGGCAGUUAUGAUAAAGUGUCCAUCAAUACAAAUGUAAAUAUAAAAAAUAAAGUGUUGAAAGGGUAUGCAGCUGCCCUAGUAUAGUGCCAGUACAAAAGCAGAAACUAAAAACUAAAAAAAUGAAUAAAUAAAUACGUGACUGGGUGAGCACAGACAUGAACGCACUGUCAAAGUCAUGCAACACUCACAGAAAUCGCCGAGAGUGUGAAGCAAAGCACUCCAUAUGAAGAGGUUGUUCACACUGCUGGAUGUUUCUCCUCCAAAGCUGCUCUCUGCCUCCGCCAGUGUUUACUUUACUCAUGAAGCACGUAGCAAGAUCCGAGCAUGAAUCUGAGCGCUUUAUUCACCUAUCAGAGGCAGACGGGUAUGAUGAUUUGAUUCGCCAUGACUCCAGAAAUGACUGAAAAACUACAGAAUGUUACAAAAUGACGUAUCCACGCUCCUGGCUUGGAAGGUUGAAAUGCGGAUACUGUCCCGGUUUAAAUGGGUUAAGUGAUUGAUGCUGAUGACAGCAAGGCCAGUGAGCCGUUCCUGAGACAUGGUUGACCUUAGGUACGACUUUAUCAACUUCAGUUUUGAGAGGCUCCUCUCUGCUUGAGCCACCAUGACUGGCAGAGUGAGAGCAAUCCUGAGAGCAGAGCUGUCCCCCGCAACCCUCUCCCCACUUCGUCUCAUACAGUCUGUCAGCCUCUGUGCGGCACCUUCGCAGCAAGCAGGGGCGCCCACAGCAGCAGGGGGCACCAAUUUGACAAGAGUUCAUACAAAACCGCUUUGCGCCACAGAUUUAUUAUUAUUAUUAUCUUUUUUUUUUUUUUUUUGAAGUGCUUGUGCCGCCCCCCAUGAGUCAUGACACAAAUGCCACCCCGGGCGGCUGCCCAGUUCGCCCAUGCCUAGAACUACUGAUGUUGCACUUCGUUAUUAUCCGAAGAGAAGACAGGACAACAUUUUAUUGGCAACAACUACCUGCAUAUAACUUUUAAAACAGCAGUAAGAGCUACUUAAAACAAGAUAUUGCUCAUCUUUUAUUGCAGUGACAGGUGGGAGGCUAACAAGGUUAGAACACAUUGUUAGGGUGGCCUUUCUGCACCUUUUUACAGAAGAGUAGCAUCUAAAGCUCAGGAGCAUCACUUGCAUGCUGAAUUUGAACUCCUGUUCUCUGUCAGUGAAUGGGGCCUUUAUGAUUUAAUAAAUGUGAGUAUGUGACCUUUUAAAAUGGUUUUUCAAUGUCAUUAAAUAAGCUUAUGGCCAAGUUGAGUUCUCUUUUAUGUUUUUAGAUUUUUCAUUAACUUUGUGAGAAAGAGUCGUGGUUUUGGCAGUCACAGAGACUGAAACCAGUUGACUCAGUUUAUUGUGAAAGGUGUGCUAACUUCAGCGAGCAUGAAGCCAGAAGCUGUUUAGGUGUGGUUUAUAAUUUGGAUCAGGAUGGCCAUUGCCACACUUAAGAAUUAUGCAAUCAAUUUGACAUCUAAAAUAAUCCCAGGACCGCUAAACCUCUUAUUACAUGACUAUGACACUUGAGAGACAGAUCAAUGUAUUUCAAAACAUAUUUUCAUAUCACAAACUGGAAAAUUUAACAAUGCAGUACUUAAUUGAACAUCAUAAAUAUGAAAACAGAAUCGGUAAAGCAACUCAAAGAAAGCACAUAGUGAAACUAAAAUAAAUGUUGUUUUAUUCUUUUACUAUCUUCUCACAGCCCACUUGCAGUACCUCCACUAGCCCACUAAGAGGCGCAGCCACAAGGAACCAAUGGUUUAAGAAGAUACUGUAUUUGUACCAGGGCCGGCGCCCAGGGUCCAGGGUCCAGGGGCCCGGGGGGGGGGGGGGGGGCAAAGCGAUGUAGAUGCCGAUGCCGAUGCCAAUUGCGAUGUCAGAGGGCCUCUAUUCUCUAGGAUCUUAUGACUACUCACACUGUUAUAGGGCAUAUCUGAAGAGAACUGAGAAAGAAGGGUGAUAUGGCGGGGGGGACAGGGACAGCAAUCAGAGGGCCCCUGGGCUUUGGGGGAUGGCAGUCAGAGGGUUCCUGGGCUAUGGGGGACGGCAGUCAGAGGGCCCCUGGGCUGGCCCUGCCGUAGUGCCUCUCAUGAAUACUCCUAAGGGAGCCCUGACGUUUACCAACUAGGGGUUCAAGGAAGUAGGGGGGAAUGCUUUCAGAGGGCCCUAUGAUUAUGGAAGCCCCUGCUAAGGGUCGUGACUUCUGGCUAUGUGGGGGCCCUAGGGAGAGCCCUAAUGGGAGAGCAUACUGUUAAGAGAGCCCUCUGAUUACAAAUGUUCUUAAAGGGCCUCUGAUUUACCAAGGGUUUUGAAUGAAAGUCCUUUCAGUGAGCCCUAAGGCCCAGGAUAUGCUAGCUGUGUGACUUCAUUUACGUGCGCAACCGCACAUACUUGCAGCAGAACGAUCAGAGCACUAUGCACGAUACUGGUAGUGUUGCCAAAAACAAAACACCAAAAGUCGCUAUUGGUUCUCUGAAAAGUCGCUAGAUUACGUCACGACGUUACUAUUUGACAAGAGUUCAUACAAAACCGCUUUGCACCACAGAUUUAUUAUUAUUAUUAUCUUUUUUUUUUUUUUUUUUUUGAAGUGCUCCUGCCGCCCCCCAUGAGUCAUGACACAAAUGCCACCCCGGGCAGCUGUCCAGUUCGCCAGUGCCUAGAACUGCUACUGAUGUUGCACUUCGUUAUUAUCCGAAGAGAAGACAGGACAACAUUUUAUUGGCAACAACUACCUGCAUAUAACUUUUAAAACAGCAGUAAGAGCUACUUAAAACAAGAUAUUGCUCAUCUUUUAUUGCAGUGACAGGUGGGAGGCUAACAAGGUUAGAACACAUUGUUGGGGUGGCCUUUCUGCACCUUUUUACAGAAGAGUGGCAUCUAAAGCUCAGGAGCAAAGCGAUGUAGAUGCCGAUGCCGAUGCCGAUGCCGAUGCCAAUUGCGAUGUCAGAGGGCCUCUAUUCUCUAGGAUCUUAUGACUACUCACACUGUUAUAGGGCAUAUCUGAAGAGAACCGAGAAAGAAGGGUGAUAUGGCGGGGGGGACAGGGACAGCAAUCAGAGGGCCCCCGGGCUUUGGGGGAUGGCAGUCAGAGGGUUCCUGGGCUAUGGGGGACGGCAGUCAGAGGGCCCCUGGGCUGGCCCUGCUGUAGUGCCUCUCAUGAUUUACCAAGGGUUUUGAAUGAAAGUCCUUUCAGUGAGCCCUAAGGCCCAGGAUAUGCUAGCUGUGUGACUUCAUUUACGUGCGCAACCGCACAUACUUGCAGCAGAACGAUCAGAGCACUAUGCACGAUACUGGUAGUGUUGCCAAAAACAAAUCACCAAAAGUCGCUAUUGGUUCUCUGAAAAGUCGCUAGAUUACGUCACGACGUUACUAUUUGACAAGAGUUCAUACAAAACCGCUUUGCACCACAGAUUUAUUAUUAUUAUUAUCUUUUUUUUUUUGUUUUUUUGGAAGUGCUCAUGCCGCCCCCCAUGAGUCAUGACACAAAUGCCACCCCGGGCAGCUGUCCAGUUCGCCCGUGCCUAGAACUGCUACUGCUACUCACUAGAUGUCACAAUUUGUCAAUGAGACUUGUCCAUGAUGUUGCACAGUGGCGGUUCUAGACUUAAUUGCUCCCUGGGCGAGACCCCCUUCAAGUGCCCCCUAUUGCUCCCCUAUUACCCCAUCAAGACCUGAACCCUGUCUGAGACACGCCUCUGAAAUCCUGAGGGCUGUUUUGAGAAGGGUCCCCAGAUCCUGAGGUUUUCUGAAGUGUUAAGGUUUACAAAAAAGCUGAGAUCUCAGCCUCUGUAGAAGAUAGAAACAAAAUUCACAAAUUAUUUGAGAGCUUACACGUGUGGCUUUCAAGAUAACUAUCUUUUAUUUUUCUGAACCUUCAUCACAUUUUUGAUAACCUUGAACAAACAAACUCAAAUGAAAUAAAGCGGCUGUAUGAAUAAAAGUAAAGACUCUGCACUGGAGAAUAAUAAACUAUUUACUUUCUGUAAAAAAAGUGGCAGUUAUGAUAAAGUGUCCAUCAAUACAAAUGUAAAUAUAAAAAAUAAAGUGUUGAAAGGGUAUGCAGCUGCCCUAGUAUAGUGCCAGUACAAAAGCAGAAACUAAAAACUAAAAAAAUGAAUAAAUAAAUACGUGACUGGGUGAGCACAGACAUGAACGCACUGUCAAAGUCAUGCAACACUCACAGAAAUCGCCGAGAGUGUGAAGCAAAGCACUCCAUAUGAAGAGGUUGUUCACACUGCUGGAUGUUUCUCCUCCAAAGCUGCUCUCUGCCUCCGCCAGUGUUUACUUUACUCAUGAAGCACGUAGCAAGAUCCGAGCAUGAAUCUGAGCGCUUUAUUCACCUAUCAGAGGCAGACGGGUAUGAUGAUUUGAUUCGCCAUGACUCCAGAAAUGACUGAAAAACUACAGAAUGUUACAAAAUGACGUAUCCACGCUCCUGGCUUGGAAGGUUGAAAUGCGGAUACUGUCCCGGUUUAAAUGGGUUAAGUGAUUGAUGCUGAUGACAGCAAGGCCAGUGAGCCGUUCCUGAGACAUGGUUGACCUUAGGUACGACUUUAUCAACUUCAGUUUUGAGAGGCUCCUCUCUGCUUGAGCCACCAUGACUGGCAGAGUGAGAGCAAUCCUGAGAGCAGAGCUGUUCCCCGCAACCCUCUCCCCACUUCGUCUCAUACAGUCUGUCAGCCUCUGUGCGGCACCUUCGCAGCAAGCAGGGGCGCCCACAGCAGCAGGGGGCACCAAUUUGACAAGAGUUCAUACAAAACCGCUUUGCGCCACAGAUUUAUUAUUAUUAUUAUCUUUUUUUUUUUUUUGAAGUGCUUGUGCCGCCCCCCAUGAGUCAUGACACAAAUGCCACCCCGGGCGGCUGCCCAGUUCGCCCAUGCCUAGAACUACUGAUGUUGCACUUCGUUAUUAUCCGAAGAGAAGACAGGACAACAUUUUAUUGGCAACAACUACCUGCAUAUAACUUUUAAAACAGCAGUAAGAGCUACUUAAAACAAGAUAUUGCUCAUCUUUUAUUGCAGUGACAGGUGGGAGGCUAACAAGGUUAGAACACAUUGUUGGGGUGGCCUUUCUGCACCUUUUUACAGAAGAGUGGCAUCUAAAGCUCAGGAGCAAAGCGAUGUAGAUGCCGAUGCCGAUGCCGAUGCCAAUUGCGAUGUCAGAGGGCCUCUAUUCUCUAGGAUCUUAUGACUACUCACACUGUUAUAGGGCAUAUCUGAAGAGAACCGAGAAAGAAGGGUGAUAUGGCGGGGGGGACAGGGACAGCAAUCAGAGGGCCCCCGGGCUUUGGGGGAUGGCAGUCAGAGGGUUCCUGGGCUAUGGGGGACGGCAGUCAGAGGGCCCCUGGGCUGGCCCUGCUGUAGUGCCUCUCAUGAUUUACCAAGGGUUUUGAAUGAAAGUCCUUUCAGUGAGCCCUAAGGCCCAGGAUAUGCUAGCUGUGUGACUUCAUUUACGUGCGCAACCGCACAUACUUGCAGCAGAACGAUCAGAGCACUAUGCACGAUACUGGUAGUGUUGCCAAAAACAAAUCACCAAAAGUCGCUAUUGGUUCUCUGAAAAGUCGCUAGAUUACGUCACGACGUUACUAUUUGACAAGAGUUCAUACAAAACCGCUUUGCACCACAGAUUUAUUAUUAUUAUUAUCUUUUUUUUUUUGUUUUUUUGGAAGUGCUCCUGCCGCCCCCCAUGAGUCAUGACACAAAUGCCACCCCGGGCAGCUGUCCAGUUCGCCCGUGCCUAGAACUGCUACUGCUACUCACUAGAUGUCACAAUUUGUCAAUGAGACUUGUCCAUGAUGUUGCACAGUGGCGGUUCUAGACUUAAUUGCUCCCUGGGCGAGACCCCCUCCAAGUGCCCCCUAUUGCUCCCCUAUUACCCCAUCAAGACCUGAACCCUGUCUGAGACACGCCUCUGAAAUCCUGAGGGCUGUUUUGAGAAGGGUCCCCAGAUCCUGAGGUUUUCUGAAGUGUUAAGGUUUACAAAAAAGCUGAGAUCUCAGCCUCUGUAGAAGAUAGAAACAAAAUUCACAAAGUAUUUGAGAGCUUACACGUGUGGCUUUCAAGAUAACUAUCUUUUAUUUUUCUGAACCUUCAUCACAUUUUUGAUAACCUUGAACAAACAAACUCAAAUGAAAUAAAGCGGCUGUAUGAAUAAAAGUAAAGACUCUGCACUGGAGAAUAAUAAACUAUUUACUUUCUGUAAAAAAAGUGGCAGUUAUGAUAAAGUGUCCAUCAAUACAAAUGUAAAUAUAAAAAAUAAAGUGUUGAAAGGGUAUGCAGCUGCCCUAGUAUAGUGCCAGUACAAAAGCAGAAACUAAAAACUAAAAAAAUGAAUAAAUAAAUACGUGACUGGGUGAGCACAGACAUGAACGCACUGUCAAAGUCAUGCAACACUCACAGAAAUCGCCGAGAGUGUGAAGCAAAGCACUCCAUAUGAAGAGGUUGUUCACACUGCUGGAUGUUUCUCCUCCAAAGCUGCUCUCUGCCUCCGCCAGUGUUUACUUUACUCAUGAAGCACGUAGCAAGAUCCGAGCAUGAAUCUGAGCGCUUUAUUCGCCUAUCAGAGGCAGACGGGUAUGAUGAUUUGAUUCGCCAUGACUCCAGAAAUGACUGAAAAACUACAGAAUGUUACAAAAUGACGUAUCCACGCUCCUGGCUUGGAAGGUUGAAAUGCGGACAUACUGUCCCGGUUUAAAUGGGUUAAGUGAUUGAUGCUGAUGACAGCAAGGCCAGUGAGCCGUUCCUGAGACAUGGUUGACCUUAGGUACGACUUUAUCAACUUCAGUUUUGAGAGGCUCCUCUCUGCUUGAGCCACCAUGACUGGCAGAGUGAGAGCAAUCCUGAGAGCAGAGCUGUCCCCCGCAACCCUCUCCCCACUUCGUCUCAUACAGUCUGUCAGCCUCUGUGCGGCACCUUAGCAGCAAGCAGGGGCGCCCACAGAAGCAGGGGGCGCCAAUUUGACAAGAGUUCAUACAAAACCGCUAACCGCUUUGCGCCACAGAUUUAUUAUUAUUAUUAUCUUUUUUUUUUUUUUUUUGGAAGUGCUCGUGCUGCCCUCCAUGAGUCAUGACACAAAUGCCACCCCGGGCGGCUGCCCAGUUCGCCCAUUCCUAGAACUGCUACUGAUGUUGCACUUAGUUAUUAUCCGAAGAGAAGACAGUACAACAUUUUAUUGGCAACAACUACCUGCAUAUAACUUUUAAAACAGCAGUAAGAGCUACUUAAAACAAGAUAUUGCUCAUCUUUUAUUGCAGUGACAGGUGGGAGGCUAACAAGGUUAGAACACAUUGUUGGGGUGGCCUUUCUGCACCUUUUUACAGAAGAGUGGCAUCUAAAGCUCAGGAGCAUCACUUGCAUGCUGAAUUUGUACUCCUGUUCUCUGGUAGAUGGUUCAGAUUACAAAAAUCUAAAUCCAACAGAAUGAAAAACUUUUUUGUUAGUCAGGCAAUUGUACAAUUUAAUCUUUAAAAUGAUCCAGUAUGAGGCAUUUGAUUUUCUUGGCUGAUGUCUGAUGGUAUUUUCUGAUGGAUCUUGCUCCCAGUUGGCCUCUGAUGUAUUGUUGGUGAUGUUGUUUCUAUGUUGUCUUUGUGAUCAGUUCAUGUAUUGGUGCUGUUAAUGUUUUGUGUUUUUUUACCUGGCUGCAAAGCAAAUUUCCCUAAGGGGACAAUAUGUAAGGAAGGACCUCUGUCUCUGCAAACACCUGCAGAG
Molecule: non-coding RNA, 11673 nt
Organism: Xyrichtys novacula (pearly razorfish)
Lineage: Eukaryota; Metazoa; Chordata; Actinopteri; Labriformes; Labridae
Source: the annotation of a GenBank genome assembly